GCCCUGAUAGUCUAAUGGUAUGAUAAUCAUGCACUAAUGUUAUGAUUGGUCCAGGUUCGAUUCCUGGUCAGGGCA
This 75-nucleotide transfer RNA is filed under the name Clytia hemisphaerica. RNAcentral's name for it is "tRNA-Ile for anticodon AAU". It matches the Rfam family "tRNA". Rfam says of the family: Transfer RNA (tRNA) molecules are approximately 80 nucleotides in length. Their secondary structure includes four short double-helical elements and three loops (D, anti-codon, and T loops). The record is from Rfam by way of RNAcentral. Lineage: Eukaryota; Metazoa; Cnidaria; Hydrozoa; Leptothecata; Clytiidae.